CCCUUCGUGGUGUAGUGGUCAGCACGCUCGACGCGUAACCGAGAGGUCCGUGGUUCGAUUCCCGGCGAUGGCG
Molecule: transfer RNA, 73 nt
Filed under: Stegodyphus mimosarum
Lineage: Eukaryota; Metazoa; Arthropoda; Arachnida; Araneae; Eresidae
Rfam family: tRNA
About the family: Transfer RNA (tRNA) molecules are approximately 80 nucleotides in length. Their secondary structure includes four short double-helical elements and three loops (D, anti-codon, and T loops).
Source: Rfam by way of RNAcentral